UUAGACCUGUUUUCUCUUUAUGAUAUUCUUCUGCACUGGGUGAAACUGGAAAUGGGUUACAAGGAACCCCUGAUAUGGUCAAACAGCCAGUUUAUUAUACACUGGUAAUGUGGACUUGGGCAUGGCUAGGGUGCUGCCCAACACUCCGAGGGCCAGAAGGAAGGCAAGAGGGAGGAGUCUUGGCUGUUGGUCCGGUAUAGCAAGCAGAGGGCUAAGGAAUGUAUACAUCUCAAAAGCCAGGAUCCUACAGGACACUCUGAAAAUGGAAUUUAUAUCCUAACCCAGGGAGUCACUGCUGUGUCUGUGGAUAAAGUCACCAUGCCAUCACGAACGUGGGAUGAUUCUUUGGGAAGAUGAAUGGCAAAAGCUUCUUCUGGCAGAGAGAUCUGCAUGUGGAAUUCCCCUUGAAACGCGAGGGACUAUUGCCACGAUCGCGGCUCCAGCCAUAUGAGGCUGGUUUAUAAACAAAAAUCCGGGAAAGCUUUGGCUUAAUUUAAAACAGGAAGCAGCGACCCAGAGGGGAAGGCUGGACAGUCUCGGAGGGUGAGCCUUUCUUGCAGUUGGGGAAGGCAGACAGAGGUCUUGGUUAAUCCGAGGUCUUCUGUGAACCGAGUUUGAGAAAAACAAAUCACAGAAAUUUUACCAGGAAACUUGGUUGAACAGGGAUUUUAUUGCACAUCUGGAAGAUGUUUUCAGGUAUUCAGAGCCUUUAGAAUGAAAGUUGGUGAGCCUGCAAUGAGGGCGUGUGUUUUUAUGGGCAGAAACUCCAUUACUACACGCUGAAGACAUAAGGGUGUUUGUAUUCUUCUGUGUUCCCUUGAUGAUGCUAAAUGGAUUUGUUACCCUCCUCUUCUUUUCAAAUUCAUUGGCUAAAAAAGCAUAGACCUAAGUAGAAUUCUCUAAGUGGGUUUAACCAUCGAAAUGGUGGCUCAAUGAAGCAUUGAUUCUGAAACGUCUUAAUGGGAUCCUUGAUGAUUUAGGUCACCUAACCACUUUAGGUGACAGAACCUUUGGACAAAGUCCAUUAUUCUCACUUCAUAUUCUACUAAUAAUACAUCAUGUCGAGAUGAUGCAAAACCACCCAUUUGUCCCCAAACCAAGAAUGCCCUUCUUCAAUGCUUCCAUUCCACGUAGGUCUACUGUGUUUUAUUUCCAUCACGCUAUCCCAGGCGGAAGGACAUGCCCAGGAUGUAAAAUCAUUAGUGGAACAUAACCUAACAACGCCCUUUUAGAAUGAUCAUGUUUAUCUUAAACACAACAUUGGAUUAAGCGUUUAUAUUAUCGUUAAAACCUCGAAAUAAAGAACAAUAAACCAAAGAGAUUCCAACGCCUUCAAAGUAACUCUGAAGAGGAAACCUGUCUCAUGUCUUGCCUGGGAUCUCAGAGGGCUGUGUUCUGCCAAAUGUGUAAUUUGGGCAGAUAAAAAUAAGUUGAACGGGUUUCAGACAUCUGUUGUCAGACUUUGGCAGUGGAUAAAUAAAAGCAACACGGCAGACGGUCAAGUCCUUCUCAGCACUGGUUGUGACAGAGAAAUUCUGAAAUCCUUUGCAAUUGGCUUUCAAAGAGGUCACCCAAUAAGGUCUUUUUUGGGGAAGAGUUGACAUGGAAAGAGCAGAAAAGUCCAGUCAUAGAAUGGGAUGAUUUUUAACAAAGUGAGCAUUUUUAUUAUAAACUUUACAAAGUACCACCCAAAGCUAACACGUUCCUUCAACCGUUGUAUUGAGUUAGGAGCCCAAGAACUUGUCUGAAUCCCUUAGACUUUGUCUCUUGGUGGUGGCAAGGAUGACGUGAUAAGAUUCCAAAUAGGAGAACCGGACUUGAUUUCAGAAGACGUGAGCCAAAAAAUCCUUCCCAGACUCUUCACUCUGAGCUGGUUCAACGAGCAUUUCUGAGAAGGGGCUAUUUUCAUUUUCCUGGAUAAUCAAUUACGGGAAGCAGAUGUUGCAUAUGUCAAUCUAUCCAAAAGGCCCAGGUGUCGGAGAGUGACUUGGUUUCCCCACUGGUGUCUUGAGAGGAAGCACUGCCCUUUUGUGAAAAAUACACAAGUCUGCACUGACUUUCACUGAUCGUCUGUAAAGAUGGAUGCUGGUUCCCUUUCUUGGCUCUCUAGAACUCCUUGCGGGGGGGAAAAGCUGGGCACACCAGCCUGCCAGCAUCUCCUCCACCCCAAGGUUGUCUGGAUUGCAGCCAGGAGUCACCGUGGGUGCCGGACCCAUGGUCACAGCCACAAUGGCCACAGUGAACCACAAGCGAGAGUCCCCAAGGGGGCCAAGAAAUGUUCUCCCAUGCACACUUGUGGCUAAGUACCACCAGGGCAGCAGAUAGAUAGCGUGAGGACCAGAAAAGUGUGGGCAGAGACCCUGACACAGAGACCUGGCACAGAUUCCAUCUCUCUGAGUUACCUCUUUGCACCUAGCCAUGAUGGGGGUUUAUCUUCAUUGAGAGUCUCCUGUGCAUUCGAGGUGACAUGGGUUCUGUUAAUCUUCUGAUCUAGCUUGGCUUUUAAAAACUGUAUCUUUAAAGCACUUUUCUUCCCAGAAUAUUUUCUUGUGCAAAGUUCAAUGUACCAACUGGCUGGGAAGAUGACAACACAGCUUCAAAUGCAUCCCGAUGAUGGCCAGAUCAAUGGAGAGGUCUGCUCUCCCUCCCACCUCAAGUCUUUAAGGGAGUUAGAAAGCAAGAGCUUAGCACAAAUAAACUUCUGCUCUCAUCACUUCCUUUGCCUGAUCUUUUCAAGUCAAGAGGUUUAUGAUUACUGUCAUUAUGACUAUUGUCAUUAUUAUUUCAUCCCCCAGUUAACUACAGUAAUAGCCUUAAAAACACAGCUCUUGGCAAGCCUCUGAGUCUCUUGACCAGAUCUAUGGCGGUGAUGAGAAUAGGGAAUUUUUGCUGAUCUAGGCACGUAUCUGCCUCGGGUCCUAAAGCCAUGAUGCCCAGAUCCCACAGGACUGACUCACAGACCCAGGUUGUGCAACCUUGCAUCUCAACUGUGCUUUAACUCGGCCUUAGACAAAUGUUCUUUGAAGUUUGUUUAUGAAAAAAAGGACAUCGAGAAGUUGGACAGAACCCGGUGGAGCACAAACAAGCUUUUUCUUCUUUGUCGCCGAAAGCCUGUUUCUUGCAUGUUGUCCCGUAACUGAAGUUGAAAGCAACGUUAUCAACAUUUCUGAUAAAAAGCCUUUUCAUCGUGCUUCAGGCUGAGGUCUGCAUUUCCUGUGGAUUUGAUGCCUGGGAUGCUAUGUUCUUUGUCUCUGUUACUCUGAUAACCUUGAAGUAGGUUCCCACUCAGUGUGCCAAAAAAGCAAGCAAAUUGUUUAAAGACCUUUUGGUAACUAUUUGGACGAUGCUUGGAACUUUGUAUACUGAUGUCUGUCUAUUCUUCUUUCAAUGGGUUGUGUAUUUGUAAUACCUAAGAAUAGUAAAUUAUCAUACACUUUUGCUAUCUAUGCUUUGAGUAACUUACGAAGACGACUGUCUGUGAUCCUCCUAGUUUCUUUUGGGCCAUGCUUUCUUCACCAUUAAUUAGAACCCAAGCUGCCAGAAAACGCCUGUGUUGCUACAUAAAAAUGGCCGUGUCCUCACUAAAGCAUGGUAUUUCGUGUUUCGUAGGAGCCUUCCCUCCCUUGUCAGAUGCAAGGAGAUGGGGGCCCCUCACACUUUCUCCUCCGCUGCCUCCCCCAGGCCACUGCAUUCUUAUCUCCUCUCUCUCUUUACUCACCUGUGAAGAUCAGCUCUUCAAAGCACUUUUAACUUGAAAGAAGUAGAGUUGGGGUUUUUCCCAAUGCUGCCUAACGUUCAGAAGGAAAGAAAUUCUUAAAUGCAAACUCACCAGCAAUCUCUUUCUCUGUUUCUUUACAACUUUUUGACGGACACAAAGAUUGUUUUUUUUGGAUGCAACCAUUUUUAACUGAAAGUAUGGAAGAGUUGUUGAAAGAAUGUGUGUUACUCUUUUCUCUGUAAUUCUGAUUUAGCAAAAUUUCUGUAGCAAGUUGGGAUUAACAAUCUUCUAGUUUUAACGGAGGUUGUUGAGGAGGGAUGCGACCUGAAAGCUGAGGAUUACAGUAAUUGCGUGAACUCUGUUUUUUGGAUGAAGGAAAAGAAAUGAGGUGAGUAAAUUUGGUAAUACCUGAAAUGGAAACAGAGUUAAUUAGUGUUGAAUAAAAUGUUGGCGCUAAGAGCGUGAAUGCUGAACUCAACACUUGCGACUGGUCUUUUUGAGCGUUUCAGUAAUUGCAUGACUUUAAAAUAGUCAUUAUAAAGAUAUAUGAGAUCUACCUGUUUCCAUCACUAAUUCUUAUGAAUCUUUUGGAAAAACAUGAGCUUCUCUGAACCUCAGUUUCCAAUUACGACAAACAAAGGGAUGGACCAUAUCUAAGACAAUUUCAUGUGUUAAGCUUGUGUCAUUUUAUUGUAUCUGAAGAGAGAGAAUUUCAAUUCAAAUGAUUUAAUUGAGCAUGCCACCAUAGUAACUAGCUUUUUAAAACUUCAUGCUAAUCUUCACCUUUCAAAAAUUUUUUUUCUUGUGACCUAAUAACUACAAUCAUAACACACCUGAAAUAAAAGUGUUGAAUGAGAGGUUUCAAAUAAAAAAUUAAUUUCCA
This 4601-nucleotide long non-coding RNA is filed under the name Equus caballus (horse). RNAcentral describes it as "lncRNA (ENSECAG00000032074.3)". The record is from RNAcentral. Lineage: Eukaryota; Metazoa; Chordata; Mammalia; Perissodactyla; Equidae.